AACCCUUUUAAAAAAACUAAACAGUACUCCCUGACAUAUACAGGCCUCUGCUAUGGGGGUGAUAGCCAGUCCUAGAGUCUGAAUGAUU
Molecule: small nucleolar RNA, 88 nt
Organism: Nannospalax galili (Upper Galilee mountains blind mole rat)
Lineage: Eukaryota; Metazoa; Chordata; Mammalia; Rodentia; Spalacidae
Source: Ensembl